Molecule: ribosomal RNA, 443 nt
Filed under: uncultured bacterium
Lineage: Bacteria
Description: partial 16S ribosomal RNA
Rfam family: Bacterial small subunit ribosomal RNA
Source: RNAcentral
CCUACGGGUGGCAGCAGUGGGGAAUAUUGGGCAAUGGAGGAAACCCUGAUCCAGCAACGCCGCGUGAAUGAAGAAGGCCUUCGGAUUGUAAAGUUCUUUCCUCAGGGAAGAAGGUACUGACGGUACCUUACGAAUAAGCCUCGGCUAACUACGUGCCAGCAGCCGCGGUAAUACGUAGGAGGCGAGCGUUAUCCGGAUUGACUGGGCGUAAAGGGCGCGUAGGCGGUUUGGCAAGUUAGAAGAGAAAGUCCGGGGCUCAACCUGGGAACUGCUACGCAAACUGUUAGGCUUGAGUGCAGGAGAGGGAAGUAGAAGUCCGGGUGUAGCGGUGAAAUGCGUAGAGAUUAGGAGGAAGACCAGUGGCGAAGGCGGGUUACUGGACUGUAACUGACGCUGAGGCGCGAAAGCGUGGGGAGCAAACAGGAUUAGAUACCCUGGUAGUC